AUUAAAUUCAUAAUACUUCCUCCCACUUUAAACAAUUUUCACAUUGCAACCAAAUUGUCAACUCCAACAGUCCCUUCUUCUUCUCUUGCACUGAUAAACUCAUUCCACAUCUACUCUUCCUGACUGUAAUUGUGUGAAAAGGAAACUGAGGAGCCAUUCUUUCAUGCAGAGACUGAUGUAUGUAUGGAACAAACUGCCAGAGGAAGUGAUUGAGACCACAUGUCGAAAUGACCAGCAAGUAGCAGGACACAAAGAUUUCAUCAAAGAUCGGAUGUCCAAGUGUCUUUGGUUGGAAGAGUGAAUGCAUUGCAGAGUCUACGUCACAGGUUACUGAAGAUCUGGGCGGAAUUCACUGAAACCUGCAAAGGACAGCUGGAGUGGCAGCCAGAGGAGAUUAGAAUCUGGUUGGGGUGUGGUGAGUAAAUCACUGGGUAUGAUUAGCUGUUGGGAGAUUAUUGCUUCUGGAUUGGCUUGGAUAGAAGAUUGAAUGUUUAUCUUCCUAUGCAGGUGCUAAAGGGCCUCAGAGUGGUGACAAAAGGACAGUGUUUUUGUAUAGAUAAAUGGACCAACGCGUGCUUUAGACAUGGGAAUGUGCAUCAAAUACUGAUCCUUUACCAACAUGACAGGAGUUCCCUGCUGAAAGUGGGCUGAAUAAACGGACAAUGUAGAAAAAGCCACUCGGUGUCUGAGUGCUGUAGAGAGAGUUCUAGCUUUACUUCAAGCAAUGCCACACUGCUCGCCUCAUGAUGUCAAAUGUGUCACUGCACUCCAACAAUCCAUCCUCAACAGAUCACCAAGCUUCAAAGAGACCAGAUCAAAAAAGAACUGCUCAUUAUAACACUCAGCCACACCUAGAAGCAUUCCAGAGCCUGGUCUUAAGCAUUUUUACUGAAAGCCAAGCUGUCUGUUUUGUGCUCGAGCAGACAAUGUUUUUCCUCUAUACAUACAUAUUUUCAUCACUCUACUUCUCAUUGUUUACCCCAUUUUCAAGUUUUGCUUCAUCUACAAAGUUGGAGUUGGUGCCCAAGAUAUUACUAUGGGGUCAAGAUAUCUCUUGAAAUACAUUGUUACUCAUCAGAGAACAGCCUGGCAUACUUUUCUUCACCUCGACAAGGAACCAUUCAGCCUGACUCUCCAAGACAAUUCCAUUUCCAAAUGAUUCCUUCGCUGUUGCAAGUUAAGUUGAUGCAUAAUCAGAGGUUGUCAUGGUCUGGUCUGUGGAUUCCUCAUUCCAGUUAUUUCCUUCUCCCUGUGUUCCAUUGGGCACUUUGAUUAAGGCACCUGAACUUCAUUUUGUACCAGCAACAGAAAAGGCUCUGGGUUACAGCGGUUAUUGCUGGAUCAUCAUCAGAAGUUCGUCACCAGUAACCAGUCACCAGAAACCAGUCACCUCACUGUAGCCACUGCAGCUAUCCUUGUCUCAGGGCAGCCAAGAAUCGUGGACUCUAGUUGCUUCAGUGCCAUGGUUGCUUAGUGAAUUUAGUCGUUUUUGUGGCCAGUUGAGUUGCCAGCCAUUUUGCCGCUACUCCAAGUAAGAUACAAAUUCUGUCAUUUUCAUGGCCAGCUGAGACUACGUUGAGUUGGGAGCCUGUCAUGCGCAGUUCCUGGGUCAAGUCGAGAACCUGCCAUUCAGAGUUUCUGGGUCGAGUCUGGAGCCUGCCAUGUGCAGUUCCUGGGUCAAGUUGAGAGCCUGUCAUCCGCUGUUCCUAGGUCGAGUCGAGAGCUUGCUGUCCUAGUCCUUUUAGCUGAGUUGGUCCGACCGUUGGCCUCUACUCCAAGUUGGAUAUUCUGUCUCUUCGUUGUCCUAGUCCUUCCAGCUGAGUAGGUCCAGCCGUUUGCUGCUACUCCAAGUUGGGUAGUCUGUCUCCUCAUUGUCCAAGUCCUUCAAGUCCAGGGUCGUGGGCUGUGUCCAAGUCCAGGCUCCAAGCCGUGUUCCAGUUCCAGGCUUCAUGUUCCAAUUCUAGGCUGAGUCUCGGGCUACGUCCACACUAGACUGGAUAAAUUUGAAAAUGCUGGUUUCACGUAAAAACGAUAGGCAUCCACACUGAGCAUUUUUAAAAAUAUCUCUGUCCACAGUAAAACGGAUAUUUCGGCGAAUCUCCUCCUACUGCGCAUGCGCAGGACACAUCUACCGAAAACAAGCGACAUGUUUGGUGUCGAAUCUUGCCGUGAAAGGCUUGGUGUGCAUUUGUUCAGUUACAGACUAGAAAAACUUAAAUGACUGACAGCUGUUGGCUCUCGCGCAGGAGGACUUAAAAGUAAAAAAUACUGGAGCGCAUGGAGGCAACCGACAGGGAGUUCAUGGACAGUAUGACCCUGCUGACAAUGAACAUUCAAAAACUGACAAACUCUUGUUGCAUUAAUAAAGCCCCCUGUUAAAUGUAUAAAACAUGUCUGCAUCAGUAUUAUCUUGUAUUUCUAUAUAAUGUUACAUUAGGCUGUUACACAUCUAUUGUCAGAGAAGUACUUGCAUAAAUAGGUAAACCACCUUCAUACCAGCAAGGACAGAAAAUGGCAAAGUGAGUACACUUGUUUAUUCAGUAAGUUAUGGGUCAAAGUAUUUGGUGAGUAUAUUUCUAACUUCUGGCUUCAGUCUCGUUGUCAUAUGUUCUGAAAUUGUUAGGUUGCGUUCAAGAAAACAAUAAAUAGCGUGCUUCCAUCACCAUCUGUUGCGGCAUGUCAUGACAGCAAUUUCUAGAUUUCUCCAGUUUCCCCGUCCACACUGCUCCAACCAAUCCGGCGUUUUCAAAAUUACACACUCUGGAAAGCAUUUCUGAAAAUCUCCAUUUUCGGGGGAUGAAAAUGCCGUUUUAAUGUGGAUGGAGGGUAAAAACGAAGAGAAAAAGUUUCAGUUAUGGAUUUAUCUGGUGUAGUGUGGACUUAGCCUCAGUCAAGUUCUGAGUCCAUGUCAAGGUCCAGGUUCCGAGUCUGAGUCAAGAUCCAAGUUCAGAGUCCAAGUUGAGUCCCAAGCUGAGGUCCAGGGUCUGAGUCCAAGUCCAAGUCUAAGUCCAGGUUUUACCAGUUUGUUGUGCAAUAUUUAUGUUCAUGUUGACAUUUUGUCCUUGCUCCCUGGCC
Long non-coding RNA from Hypanus sabinus (Atlantic stingray), 3075 nucleotides. RefSeq lists it as uncharacterized. The transcript has 5 exons. The record is from RefSeq and is a predicted model, not a curated record. Lineage: Eukaryota; Metazoa; Chordata; Chondrichthyes; Myliobatiformes; Dasyatidae.